This 2481-nucleotide ribosomal RNA is filed under the name Acinetobacter baumannii 1552818. RNAcentral describes it as "bacterial LSU rRNA". It matches the Rfam family "Bacterial large subunit ribosomal RNA", at positions 14 to 2531 of the family's 2925-position model. The record is from RNAcentral. Lineage: Bacteria; Pseudomonadati; Pseudomonadota; Gammaproteobacteria; Moraxellales; Moraxellaceae.
AGUGCAUGUGGUGGAUGCCUUGGCAGUCAGAGGCGAUGAAAGACGUGAUAGCCUGCGAAAAGCUCCGGGGAGGCGGCAAAUAUCCUUUGAUCCGGAGAUGUCUGAAUGGGGGAACCCACCUACUUUAAGGUAGGUAUUGCAACAUGAAUACAUAGUGUUGCAAGGCGAACGAGGGGAAGUGAAACAUCUCAGUACCCUUAGGAAAAGAAAUCAAUUGAGAUUCCCUCAGUAGCGGCGAGCGAACGGGGAUCAGCCCAUUAAGUUAUGUGUGUUUUAGUGGAACGCUCUGGGAAGUGCGAACGUAGAGGGUGAUAUUCCCGUACACGAAAGGGCACACAUAAUGAUGACGAGUAGGGCGAGGCACGUGAAACCUUGUCUGAAUAUGGGGGGACCAUCCUCCAAGGCUAAAUACUCCUGACUGACCGAUAGUGAACCAGUACCGUGAGGGAAAGGCGAAAAGAACCCCUGUGAGGGGAGUGAAAUAGAUCCUGAAACCGCAUGCAUACAAGCAGUGGGAGCACCUUCGUGGUGUGACUGCGUACCUUUUGUAUAAUGGGUCAGCGACUUAUAUUCAGUAGCGAGGUUAACCGUAUAGGGGAGCCGUAGAGAAAUCGAGUCUUAAUAGGGCGUUUAGUUGCUGGGUAUAGACCCGAAACCAGGCGAUCUAUCCAUGAGCAGGUUGAAGGUUGGGUAACACUAACUGGAGGACCGAACCCACUGUCGUUGAAAAGCCAGGGGAUGACUUGUGGAUAGGGGUGAAAGGCUAAUCAAGCCUGGUGAUAGCUGGUUCUCCCCGAAAGCUAUUUAGGUAGCGCCUCGGACGAAUACCAUAGGGGGUAGAGCACUGUUUCGGCUAGGGGGUCAUCCCGACUUACCAAACCGAUGCAAACUCCGAAUACCUAUGAGUACUAUCCGGGAGACAGACUGCGGGUGCUAACGUCCGUAGUCAAGAGGAAAACAAUCCAGACCGCCAGCUAAGGCCCCAAAAUCAUAGUUAAGUGGGAAACGAUGUGGGAAGGCAUAGACAGCUAGGAGGUUGGCUUAGAAGCAGCCACCCUUUAAAGAAAGCGUAAUAGCUCACUAGUCGAGUCGGCCUGCGCGGAAGAUGUAACGGGGCUAAAACUAUGUGCCGAAGCUGCGGAUGUAUACUUUGUAUACGUGGUAGGGGAGCGUUCUGUAAGCCGAUGAAGGUGUGUUGAGAAGCAUGCUGGAGGUAUCAGAAGUGCGAAUGCUGACGUGAGUAACGACAAAACGGGUGAAAAACCCGUUCGCCGAAAGACCAAGGGUUCCAGUCCAACGUUAAUCGGGGCUGGGUGAGUCGACCCCUAAGGCGAGGCCGAAAGGCGUAGUCGAUGGGAAAAUGGUUAAUAUUCCAUUACUUCUGUGUAAUGCGAUGAGAGGACGGAGAAGGCUAAAUCAGCCUGGCGUUGGUUGUCCAGGUGAAAGGAUGUAGGCAUGUAUCUUAGGCAAAUCCGGGGUACUCUAUGCUGAGAUCUGAUAGCAAGCUGUACUUGUACAGCGAAGUGGUUGAUGCCAUGCUUCCAGGAAAAGUCUCUAAGCUUCAGUUACACAGGAAUCGUACCCGAAACCGACACAGGUGGUCAGGUCGAGUAGACCAAGGCGCUUGAGAGAACUCUGCUGAAGGAACUAGGCAAAAUGGUACCGUAACUUCGGGAGAAGGUACGCUGUUGUUGGUGAUGGAACUCGCUUCCUGAGCUGACGACAGCCGCAGAAACCAGGCCGCUGCAACUGUUUAUUAAAAACAUAGCACUCUGCAAACACGAAAGUGGACGUAUAGGGUGUGAUGCCUGCCCGGUGCUGGAAGGUUAAUUGAUGGGGUUAGCGUAAGCGAAGCUCUUGAUCGAAGCCCCAGUAAACGGCGGCCGUAACUAUAACGGUCCUAAGGUAGCGAAAUUCCUUGUCGGGUAAGUUCCGACCUGCACGAAUGGCAUAAUGAUGGCGGCGCUGUCUCCAGCAGAGGCUCAGUGAAAUCGAAAUCGCUGUGAAGAUGCAGUGUACCCGCGGCUAGACGGAAAGACCCCGUGAACCUUUACUGCAGCUUGACACUGAACUUUGACCUUACUUGUGUAGGAUAGGUGGGAGGCUUUGAAGCUGGAACGCUAGUUCCAGUGGAGCCGUCCUUGAAAUACCACCCUGGUAAUGUUGAGGUUCUAACUCUGUCCCGUGAUCCGGGACGAGGACCGUGUCUGGUGGGUAGUUUGACUGGGGCGGUCUCCUCCUAAAGAGUAACGGAGGAGUACGAAGGUGCGCUCAGCGUGGUCGGAAAUCACGCGUAGAGUAUAAAGGCAAAAGCGCGCUUAACUGCGAGACCCACAAGUCGAGCAGGUACGAAAGUAGGUCUUAGUGAUCCGGUGGUUCUGUAUGGAAGGGCCAUCGCUCAACGGAUAAAAGGUACUCUGGGGAUAACAGGCUGAUACCGCCCAAGAGUUCAUAUCGACGGCGGUGUUUGGCACCUCGAUG